ACAACAUCAAUAAUAAUAUUAAGACAUAAACCAUAGACGGACCGUGACUAACAAACAUUUCAACAGCAAGUCAACAUAACAUUAAUUUAGUACAGAAAAAUAAUAACUAGCAACUCACCCGCACUUGCGAGAUACACUCAAACUCAAGUCAGUCCUUUCUAAAAUCUGCCAAGAAGAAGGAGUCUGUGAAUCUUGCUCCUCUGUGUGAAAUUCGUUUCCUUUCACGUAGCUAAUCAUGGCAGAUGGAGAGGAAAAGGAUAAGGAUAAUGCCAAGUGGUCGUUUUGGUUAGAAUUAGCCAAGACUGUCUUAAUAUUUUUGGCUGUGUGUGGGUUCGGGGCUAUGUUUUUGGGUUAUAACGUCAGCACGUGUGUGUACGCUGCCGCCGGAAUGAAAAUGUGCUGGAUGGCUUCCCAACAGUUGAUAAAGGCGUGAUUCACCAUUCCGCUCUCCCAACAAAAGACUAUAUACUCUUCAUAGUCUUUGUUUCUAAAUACAAGUCCAUCAGUGUCGCCCCUUCAUCCCUCUGAAAUUAUUACGAGAGCGAAGAUGACUGCGGGACACGAAGAGCGAAGAUGACUACGGGACGCGAAGGUGAUGGUGAGAUGCGUGAUGUCAAGAGGAUGGCGAGGGACGUGAUGUCAACAGGAUGUCGAUAGGCGUCAUGAGGGACGUGAUGUCACUGAUUCAUAGACGUCAUGAGGGAUGCGAUGUCACUGAUUCACGUGGUGCAUGUGGACCUAGGACGUCAAUGCGUGUUUAAGCGUUUGUUAAAUAUUCAAAUUUUGUGUCGCACGAUCAGAAAUAUAACCAUAACAAUUCAGAAAUAUAUGAAGAAACUUUAAUGGUACGAUAUGAAAUUAAGACCCAUUCGUAACAGCACUUACCGGAUUAUAUUCCUUUUUUUUCAUUUGAAAUUUAUGAACGUCAAUUUACAGCACGUGACACUGUACCCAAUAAAUGUAAAUGUUAAAA
Molecule: long non-coding RNA, 973 nt
Filed under: Penaeus japonicus
Lineage: Eukaryota; Metazoa; Arthropoda; Malacostraca; Decapoda; Penaeidae
Description: uncharacterized LOC122243627
Source: RNAcentral